GGGGAAUAUUGGGCAAUGGGCGCAAGCCUGACCCAGCAACGCCGCGUGAAGGAAGAAGGCUUUCGGGUUGUAAACUUCUUUUGGCAGGGACGAAGAAAGUGACGGUACCUGCAGAAUAAGCUCCGGCUAACUACGUGCCAGCAGCCGCGGUAAUACGUAGGGAGCAAGCGUUAUCCGGAUUUACUGGGUGUAAAGGGCGCGUAGGCGGGAAUGCAAGUCAGAUGUGAAAUCUGAGGGCUCAACCCUCAAACUGCAUUUGAAACUGGGAGACUUGAGUGCAGAAGAGGAAAGUGGAAUUCCAAGUGUAGCGGUGAAAUGCGUAGAGAUUUGGAGGAACACCAGUGGCGAAGGCGACUUUCUGGUCUGCAACUGACGCUGAGGCGCGAAAGCAUGGGGAGCAAACA
Molecule: ribosomal RNA, 404 nt
Filed under: uncultured Eubacteriales bacterium
Lineage: Bacteria; Bacillati; Bacillota; Clostridia; Eubacteriales
Description: bacterial SSU rRNA
Rfam family: Bacterial small subunit ribosomal RNA
Source: RNAcentral